This 494-nucleotide ribosomal RNA is filed under the name uncultured bacterium. RNAcentral describes it as "partial 16S ribosomal RNA". It matches the Rfam family "Bacterial small subunit ribosomal RNA", at positions 28 to 507 of the family's 1533-position model. The record is from RNAcentral.
GACGAACGCUGGCGGCGUGCCUAACACAUGCAAGUCGAACGGAUUGGCCUGCUUUCCAUCGUGGUAUGCGGGUACACGAGUGGCGAACGGGGGAGUAACACGUCAGUGAUAUGCUCCCCAUUUGGGUAUAAGCACGGGUAACUGCGUCUAAUUAUAGCGCGGAAUGCCGUUUGGCGCAUGUUGUGGGAAUCGAAUUUGUUGUGGCUGCGGAUGAGCUCGCGGCCUAUCUGCUUGUUGGAGGGGGAAUGGCCUCCCAAGGCGGCGACGGGUAGCCGGACGGAGGGGGUGGACGGCGACAUUGGGACAGGGACACGGCCCAGACGGCUACGAGAGGCAGCAGUUGGGAAGAAUGCACAAUGAGCGGAAGCCUGAAGCACCGACGCCGCGUGGAGGAUGACGGCCUUCGAGAUGUAAGCUCCUUUCGACCGCGAGGAAGCCACCUGGAAGGAAGGGUGGUGACGGUAGUGGAAGAAGAAGCACCGGCUAACUACGUG